GGGUUGUGAGGUUAAGCGACUAAGCGUACACGGUGGAUGCCCUGGCAGUCAGAGGCGAUGAAGGGCGUGCUAAUCUGCGAUAAGCGCCGGUAAGGUGAUAUGAACCGUUAUAACCGGCGAUACCCGAAUGGGGAAACCCAGUGUGACUCGUCACACUAUCAUUAACUGAAUCCAUAGGUUAAUGAGGCGAACCGGGGGAACUGAAACAUCUAAGUACCCCGAGGAAAAGAAAUCAACCGAGAUUCCCCCAGUAGCGGCGAGCGAACGGGGAGGAGCCCAGAGCCUGAAUCAGCAUGUGUGUUAGUGGAAGCGUCUGGAAAGACGCGCGAUACAGGGUGACAGCCCCGUACACAAAAGCGUAUGUGCUGUGAGCUCGAUGAGUAGGGCGGGACACGUGGUAUCCUGUCUGAAUAUGGGGGGACCAUCCUCCAAGGCUAAAUACUCCUGACUGACCGAUAGUGAACCAGUACCGUGAGGGAAAGGCGAAAAGAACCCCGGCGAGGGGAGUGAAAAAGAACCUGAAACCGUGUACGUACAAGCAGUGGGAGCACAGGUUUACCUGUGUGACUGCGUACCUUUUGUAUAAUGGGUCAGCGACUUAUAUUCUGUAGCAAGGUUAACCGAAUAGGGGAGCCGGAGGGAAACCGAGUCUUAAUUGGGCGUUAAGUUGCAGGGUAUAGACCCGAAACCCGGUGAUCUAGCCAUGGGCAGGUUGAAGGUUGGGUAACACUAACUGGAGGACCGAACCGACUAAUGUUGAAAAAUUAGCGGAUGACCUGUGGCUGGGGGUGAAAGGCCAAUCAAACCGGGAGAUA
RNAcentral lists this ribosomal RNA (815 nucleotides) under Salmonella enterica. RNAcentral describes it as "partial 23S ribosomal RNA". It matches the Rfam family "Bacterial large subunit ribosomal RNA", at positions 1 to 847 of the family's 2925-position model. Lineage: Bacteria; Pseudomonadati; Pseudomonadota; Gammaproteobacteria; Enterobacterales; Enterobacteriaceae. The record is from RNAcentral.